UAGGGAAUCUUCCGCAAUGGGCGAAAGCCUGACGGAGCAACACCGCGUGAGUGAUGAAGGUCUUCGGAUCGUAAAACUUUGUUAUUAGGGAAGAACAAAUGUGUAAGUAACUAUGCACGUCUUGACGGUACCUAAUCAGAAAGCCACGGCUAACUACGUGCCAGCAGCCGCGGUAAUACGUAGGUGGCAAGCGUUAUCCGGAAUUAUUGGGCGUAAAGCGCGCGUAGGCGGUUUUUUAAGUCUGAUGUGAAAGCCCACGGCUCAACCGUGGAGGGUCAUUGGAAACUGGAAAACUUGAGUGCAGAAGAGGAAAGUGGAAUUCCAUGUGUAGCGGUGAAAUGCGCAGAGAUAUGGAGGAACACCAGUGGCGAAGACGACUUUCUGGUCUGUAACUGACGCUGAUGUGCGAAAGCGGGGGGAUCAAACAGG
Molecule: ribosomal RNA, 429 nt
Filed under: Actinomycetes bacterium
Lineage: Bacteria; Bacillati; Actinomycetota; Actinomycetes
Description: Actinobacteria bacterium partial 16S ribosomal RNA
Rfam family: Bacterial small subunit ribosomal RNA
Source: RNAcentral